GUCGGAAGGACAGCUGGUACUCAUGAGCUCUCCAGAGAGCCCCCGUCACUAAAGGCUGAGGGAGAACCCUGAGCCCGGGGACCUCCAGGCCAAAGAGGGAAUUCUAGGGCCGGGCCCAGGAGGCUGAAAAUAAGGACAACAAAGUAACAGCUAACAUUGGAUGAGGAAAAGUGAAGCACAGGGGUCUUAAAUCUCUCUGGGUCUCAGUUUCCUGAAAAUCCAACACUUCUGAAGGAAUACCAGAAGCAGCUGCAACCACGCAGCCUAGGAAGCCCUCAAGAACCUGGCGGUGGGAAAGUCUAGGCGCUCGCUCAAAUGGGAAGGGGCCCGCAGGAGCCCGAGGAGAACGGCCAACUGUUGGGAAGCUGGAAGAUUUUUUACAUGACGCAGGCUUCGCGGACUGUGAGAGCGUGACGGAUUCUUAAAGACCUGGAUCCCACCUGCCUCAAAUGAAAGCAGUUUAACACCAGAGGUAUGUGAUACGUGAUAAAUAUCUUCCAGGCUCACCGGUUUUACCCUUGGAAGUUGUGUGUGGGAAGUUUAGUAAUUUAAGGUAUUUUGAUACCAAAUAUGGAUGUUUGGGAAAUGCAAAUUGUUCAUUGAUCAAGAUUAAACACAAGGCUUCAAGAAAUUUCGGGCUUACAGCUUAACAAGGCUGGCUUUGGAGAGUGUGAUG
Long non-coding RNA from Camelus dromedarius (Arabian camel), 676 nucleotides. RefSeq lists it as uncharacterized. The record is from RefSeq and is a predicted model, not a curated record. The transcript has 3 exons. Lineage: Eukaryota; Metazoa; Chordata; Mammalia; Artiodactyla; Camelidae.